UCUCCGUCGGUGAACCUGCGGAGGGAUCAUUACUGAGUGAGGGCUUCGGUCCGACCUCCAACCCUUUGUGAACCGAAACCUGUUGCUUCGGGGGCGACCCUGCCUUCGUGCGAGGCGCCCCCGGAGGCUCAUCAAACACUGCAUCUUUGCGUCGGAGUCUUAAUGAAUUUAAACAAAACAUUUAACAACGGAUCUCUUGGUGCUGGCAUCGAUGAAGAACGCAGC
RNAcentral lists this unclassified non-coding RNA (225 nucleotides) under uncultured fungus. Its description in RNAcentral is "sequence contains ITS1, 5.8S rRNA gene". The stretch from base 177 to 225 matches the Rfam family "5.8S ribosomal RNA", at positions 1 to 49 of the family's 154-position model. The record is from RNAcentral. Lineage: Eukaryota; Fungi.